GCCUUCGUGGUAUAGCAGUCAGCACUUUCGACGCGUAACCGAGAGGUCCGUGGUUCGAAUCCCGGUGAAGGCG
This 73-nucleotide transfer RNA is filed under the name Stegodyphus mimosarum. It matches the Rfam family "tRNA". Rfam says of the family: Transfer RNA (tRNA) molecules are approximately 80 nucleotides in length. The record is from Rfam by way of RNAcentral. Lineage: Eukaryota; Metazoa; Arthropoda; Arachnida; Araneae; Eresidae.